RNAcentral lists this ribosomal RNA (491 nucleotides) under uncultured bacterium. Its description in RNAcentral is "partial 16S ribosomal RNA". It matches the Rfam family "Bacterial small subunit ribosomal RNA", at positions 30 to 507 of the family's 1533-position model. The record is from RNAcentral.
UUGAACGCUGGCGGCAUGCUUUACACAUGCAAGUCGAACGGUAACAGGCCUUCGGGUGCUGACGAGUGGCGAACGGGUGAGUAAUGCAUCGGAACGUACCCAGAGGUGGGGGAUAACGCAGCGAAAGCUGUGCUAAUACCGCAUGUGAUCUGAGGAUGAAAGCGGGGGACCGAGCAGCAAUGUUUGGCCUCGCGCCUUUGGAGCGGCCGAUGUCGGAUUAGCUAGUUGGUGGGGUAAAGGCCUACCAAGGCGACGAUCCGUAGCUGGUCUGAGAGGACGACCAGCCACACUGGGACUGAGACACGGCCCAGACUCCUACUGGAGGCAGCAGUGGGGAAUUUUGGACAAUGGGCGCAAGCCUGAUCCAGCAAUGCCGCGUGCGGGAAGAAGGCCUUCGGGUUGUAAACCGCUUUUGGCAGGAACGAAACGGUGUCCGCUAAUACCGGGCGCUAAUGACGGUACCUGCAGAAUAAGCACCGGCUAACUACGUG